GAUUAAUGUGGCCGAAUUAGGUGAUAGAUUGUAAAUCUUUUUAUGGAAAUAAUACCCUUAAUCA
RNAcentral lists this transfer RNA (64 nucleotides) under Arion ater rufus. RNAcentral describes it as "tRNA-Tyr". The record is from RNAcentral. Lineage: Eukaryota; Metazoa; Mollusca; Gastropoda; Stylommatophora; Arionidae.